GGGGAUGUGGCUCAGUGGUAGAGUUCUUGCCUGAUAAGCAUGAGGCCCUUUGGUGGCCCCC
RNAcentral lists this transfer RNA (61 nucleotides) under Ictidomys tridecemlineatus (thirteen-lined ground squirrel). RNAcentral's name for it is "Spermophilus tridecemlineatus (thirteen-lined ground squirrel) tRNA". It matches the Rfam family "tRNA". From Rfam's summary of the family: Transfer RNA (tRNA) molecules are approximately 80 nucleotides in length. Their secondary structure includes four short double-helical elements and three loops (D, anti-codon, and T loops). Further hydrogen bonds mediate the characteristic L-shaped molecular structure. tRNAs have two regions of fundamental functional importance: the anti-codon, which is responsible for specific mRNA codon recognition, and the 3' end, to which the tRNAs corresponding amino acid is attached (by aminoacyl-tRNA synthetases). tRNAs cope with the degeneracy of the genetic code in two manners: having more than one tRNA (with a specific anti-codon) for a particular amino acid; and 'wobble' base-pairing, i.e. permitting non-standard base-pairing at the 3rd anti-codon position. The record is from Rfam by way of RNAcentral. Lineage: Eukaryota; Metazoa; Chordata; Mammalia; Rodentia; Sciuridae.